UGAGGAAUAUUGGUCAAUGGACGAAAGUCUGAACCAGCCAAGUAGCGUGCAGGAUGACGGCCCUCCGGGUUGUAAACUGCUUUUAGUUGGGAAUAAAAAAAGGGACGUGUCCCUUAUUGUAUGUACCUUCAGAAAAAGGACCGGCUAAUUCCGUGCCAGCAGCCGCGGUAAUACGGAAGGUCCAGGCGUUAUCCGGAUUUAUUGGGUUUAAAGGGAGCGUAGGCGGAUUGUUAAGCCAGCGGUUAAAGGGUGUGGCUCAACCAUACAUUGCCGUUGAAACUGGCGAUCUUGAGUGCAGACAGGGAUGCCGGAAUUCGUGGUGUAGCGGUGAAAUGCUUAGAUAUCACGAAGAACUCCGAUCGCGAAGGCAGGUGUCCGGGCUGCAACUGACGCUGAGGCUCGAAAGUGUGGGUAUCAAACAGGAUUAGAUACCCUGGUAGUCCACACAGUAAACGAUGUAUACUCGCGGUUUGCGAUAGACAGUAAGCCGCCAGCGAAAGCAUUAAGUAUACCACCUGGGGAGUACGCCGGCNCGGU
This 537-nucleotide ribosomal RNA is filed under the name uncultured bacterium. RNAcentral's name for it is "bacterial SSU rRNA". It matches the Rfam family "Bacterial small subunit ribosomal RNA", at positions 355 to 895 of the family's 1533-position model. The record is from RNAcentral.